GACGAACGCUGGCGGCGUGCUUAACACAUGCAAGUCGAGCGAUGAAGUUCCUUCGGGAACGGAUUAGCGGCGGACGGGUGAGUAACACGUGGGUAACCUACCUAUAAGACUGGGAUAACUUCGGGAAACCGGAGCUAAUACCGGAUAAUUCUUUUCUACACAUGUAGGAAAGCUGAAAGACGGUUUACGCUGUCACUUAUAGAUGGGCCCGCGGCGCAUUAGCUAGUUGGUGAGGUAACGGCUCACCAAGGCCACGAUGCGUAGCCGACCUGAGAGGGUGAUCGGCCACACUGGGACUGAGACACGGCCCAGACUCCUACGGGAGGCUG
This 329-nucleotide ribosomal RNA is filed under the name uncultured Bacillota bacterium. RNAcentral describes it as "bacterial SSU rRNA". It matches the Rfam family "Bacterial small subunit ribosomal RNA", at positions 28 to 351 of the family's 1533-position model. Lineage: Bacteria; Bacillati; Bacillota. The record is from RNAcentral.